CUUUUCAGAAGAGAUAGAAAAAUUAGAAAGAGAGUUAGAGAAUGCAAUAAAGGAGAUGGAGAACCUUAAACUUAACCAGUCUAAAGUGCUUGAGCAACUUCACCAUCAAGAUGAGGUCAACAAAUCAUUAAAAGAAAAAACUUUGCAGCAGAAGCAAAGCUGUGAAGAUCUACAAAGGGAUGUGGAUACCAAAAAUGAACUGCUGGUGUAUUGGUUUGUCACAGUUCCUUUCCGCAGAGCCUUUAUUCC
This 249-nucleotide long non-coding RNA is filed under the name Gallus gallus (chicken). Its description in RNAcentral is "long non-coding RNA NONGGAT003164". The record is from RNAcentral. Lineage: Eukaryota; Metazoa; Chordata; Aves; Galliformes; Phasianidae.